This 253-nucleotide ribosomal RNA is filed under the name uncultured archaeon. Its description in RNAcentral is "partial 16S ribosomal RNA". It matches the Rfam family "Archaeal small subunit ribosomal RNA", at positions 474 to 726 of the family's 1478-position model. The record is from RNAcentral.
UCCCAGCAGUCCAAGUCGCAGCCACAUUUAUUGGGUCUAAAACAUCCGUAGCUUGCUUUGUAAGUCCUUUGUGAAAUCGGGAAUCUUAAGUUUCCGGCGUGCAAAGGAUACUACUUAGCUAGAGACCGGGAGACGUAAGAAGUACUGGUAGAGUAGCGGUAAAAUGCGUUGAUCCUACCUGGACUAACAAUAGCGAAGGCAUCUUACGAGAACGGAUCUGACAGUGAGGGAUGAAGGCUAGGGGCGCAAAGUG